UGGUCCAGACUUUGAUCAUGGCUCAGGAUGAACGCUAGCUACAGGCUUAACACAUGCAAGUCGAGGGGAAACGACAUCGAAAGCUUGCUUUUGAUGGGCGUCGACCGGCGCACGGGUGAGUAACGCGUAUCCAACCUGCCCACCACUUGGGGAUAACCUUGCGAAAGUAAGACUAAUACCCAAUGAUAUCUCUAGAAGACAUCUGAAAGAGAUUAAAGAUUUAUCGGUGAUGGAUGGGGAUGCGUCUGAUUAGCUUGUUGGCGGGGUAACGGCCCACCAAGGCGACGAUCAGUAGGGGUUCUGAGAGGAAGGUCCCCCACAUUGGAACUGAGACACGGUCCAAACUCCUACGGGAGGCAGCAGUGAGGAAUAUUGGUCAAUGGACGAGAGUCUGAACCAGCCAAGUAGCGUGCAGGAUGACGGCCCUAUGGGUUGUAAACUGCUUUUAUAAGGGAAUAAAGUGAGUCUCGUGAGACUUUUUGCAUGUACCUUAUGAAUAAGGACCGGCUAAUUCCGUGCCAGCAGCCGCGGUAAUACGGAAGGUCCGGGCGUUAUCCGGAUUUAUUGGGUUUAAAGGGAGCGUAGGCCGGAGAUUAAGCGUGUUGUGAAAUGUAGACGCUCAACGUCUGCACUGCAGCGCGAACUGGUUUCCUUGAGUACGCACAAAGUGGGCGGAAUUCGUGGUGUAGCGGUGAAAUGCUUAGAUAUCACGAAGAACUCCGAUUGCGAAGGCAGCUCACUGGAGCGCAACUGACGCCGAAGCUCGAAAGUGCGGGUAUCGAACAGGAUUAAAUACCCUGGUAGUCCGCACGGUAAACGAUGGAUGCCCGCUGUUGGUCUGAAUAGGUCAGCGGCCAAGCGAAAGCAUUAAGCAUCCCACCUGGGGAGUACGCCGGCAACGGUGCAACUCAAAGGAAUUGAC
Molecule: ribosomal RNA, 922 nt
Filed under: uncultured bacterium
Lineage: Bacteria
Also listed under: 1 other name
Description: bacterial SSU rRNA
Rfam family: Bacterial small subunit ribosomal RNA
Source: RNAcentral